This 164-nucleotide ribosomal RNA is filed under the name Leuzea integrifolia. RNAcentral's name for it is "Rhaponticum integrifolium 5.8S ribosomal RNA". It matches the Rfam family "5.8S ribosomal RNA". From Rfam's summary of the family: 5.8S ribosomal RNA (5.8S rRNA) is a component of the large subunit of the eukaryotic ribosome. It is transcribed by RNA polymerase I as part of the 45S precursor that also contains 18S and 28S rRNA. The record is from RNAcentral. Lineage: Eukaryota; Viridiplantae; Streptophyta; Magnoliopsida; Asterales; Asteraceae.
UAAACGACUCUCGGCAACGGAUAUCUCGGCUCACGCAUCGAUGAAGAACGUAGCAAAUUGCGAUACUUGGUGUGAAUUGCAGAAUCCCGUGAACCAUCGAGUUUUUGAACGCAAGUUGCGCCCGAAGCCAUUCGGUUGAGGGCACGUCUGCCUGGGCGUCACGC